GUGCCAGCAGCCGCGGUACUACGUAGGUGGCAAGCGUUAUCCGGAUUUACUGGGCGUAAAGAGUGCGUAGGCGGUUCUUCAAGUCGGAUGUGAAAUCUCCCGGCUUAACCGGGAGGGGUCAUUCGAAACUGUUGGACUAGAGGACAGCAGGGGGAGGUGGAAUUCCCGGUGUAGUGGUGAAAUGCGUAGAUAUCGGGAGGAACACCAGUGGCGAAGGCGGCCUCCUGGGCUGUUUCUGACGCUGAGGCUCGAAAGUGUGGGGAGCGAACAGGAUUAGAUACCCUGGUAGUCCACACUGUAAACAAUGGACACUAGGUAUGGGGAGUAUCGACCCUUUCUGUGCCGAAGCUAACGCUUUAAGUGUCCCGCCUGGGGACUACGGCCGCAAGGCUAAAACUCAAAUGAAUUGACGGGG
Molecule: ribosomal RNA, 415 nt
Filed under: uncultured prokaryote
Description: bacterial SSU rRNA
Rfam family: Bacterial small subunit ribosomal RNA
Source: RNAcentral